AUACCCGUCCCUCAUCGUCAUUUCCGCGUCUCGAAAAUUGUCCGAAUAAUUAAAAAAAAAGAAACAAAUAGAACGAACCCACGCCCUCACAGGGAAGCAAUCUUGAAACUUCAAGCUCUUUAAAACUCCCUCCCUUCUCCCCCCUCCUCUCUGUCGCCGUGAAAAACACAAAGCACCGUAAAAGGAAAGCCUGAAACCCUAGCUUUUUUUUUCAUUGCUUGCUAUUGAAGAAUCGAAUUUGUGCCGAUUUGAUGAGUCUGUGAAAUGUGCUUUUUGGAGAACGAUUGAUUUCAAUUUAAUAAAACCUAAAAAUAGCGAGGAUUUGUUUUUUUUUAUUGAAUAUAAAAUGAAAAAAUUCCGACGGUGGCACUGGAUUUUGACACUCUCUGUGCUCUAUUUAACUGUGCUGGCUCCCAUCCUUAUCGUUUCUCUAGGGCGGGAAGAAUUGAUUUCUGAUUUGUCAAAUUUGGGGUAUCCAAUUCAGAGAUCUACGGAUAGGAAGGUAAAGAAGAUGAAAGAUUAUGUGCUUAGAGGGAAGACAUACUUAAGCAUGUGGCCACCAGGCAGCAACUAUCGCUUAGUAAAAGAGUUGAGACACCGAAUAAAAUAAUCAGAAGGAGCUGUUAGUUCAUCCAACAAGGACUCAGAUUUAUCAAGGAGAAAAUGAGAUCCUUGGAGGUUAUGUUGUCAAGAGUCAGUCGUGUUUUCCCAGACUGCUCUGCCAUGGCUUCAAAGCUCCGCGCCAUGACUUACAAUGCUGAAGAAGAGGUUCGAGCUCAGAAGAAUCAAGCAACAUAUCUUGUUCAGCUUGCAGGAAGGACUACACCGAAAGGCCUACACUGCCUUCCAUGCGGUUGACUGCUGAAGAUUUUGCCUUGCCAGCUGAGGAAAGACAGGUCUCUAACCAACACAGAGUGCAGGAUCCAGAUCUCCAUCACUAUACUGUUUUCACUGGCAAUGUUCUGUCCUGUGCAGUGGUUGUCAAUUCUACUGUGUCCUCUGCCAUGAAAUCAUUAACUAUGACAGGAAUCUGGUACAGAUGUCAUUCUCCGUGCAUGUGGUCGGCUUAGAUACCUGCGGAAAAAGCUUUUCAAAUUGAAUAUUGUGCAUGGUUUACUUUGAGCUGAGGUGUGCAACAAACCUUCAUUUUGCCGGAUGGAUAUGUUCAUCAAUUUCUCAGAUCCAUUUGUGAUUAAGAGGUUUAAUGUCAAGGCAUGCACAUGGGCAUUUGGAAUGAAUUUGUUUGAUAUGCAAGAGUGGAAGAGGCAUAAUUUAACAGCUCUCUAUAAUAAAUACUUGCAACUGGUACGUGACUAUCUCUUGUUACACAUUUGCUUAUGCUUGCAUGCUGACAUGCUUUCUGGAUUUAUGUUAUCUCUGCUGUUCUGAAAAACAUGCUUGCUGAUUUAGCAUUGUUCAUCUUCAAAAGAUGUUUACUCCUCUCUCGAUUUUUCCA
Long non-coding RNA from Populus euphratica (Euphrates poplar), 1456 nucleotides. RefSeq lists it as uncharacterized. The record is from RefSeq and is a predicted model, not a curated record. The transcript has 5 exons. Lineage: Eukaryota; Viridiplantae; Streptophyta; Magnoliopsida; Malpighiales; Salicaceae.